Long non-coding RNA from Octopus sinensis (East Asian common octopus), 667 nucleotides. RefSeq lists it as uncharacterized. The transcript has 3 exons. The record is from RefSeq and is a predicted model, not a curated record. NCBI's taxonomy places the organism in Eukaryota, Metazoa, Mollusca, Cephalopoda, Octopoda, Octopodidae.
AGUUACCUCGAAGGACUGAUACUAUUCCAGCUAUACAACACCUACCAAGAUGCUUAUAUCAGUGGCGGGUAUCUUGAAUAUGAAACCUCUAAAUAUCAAUUUCUUUUCGACUCUUUUAAACGCUGCAAACAAAUAAAUCACCCAGAACUCAAAACAAUUGGAUCUGAAUUCAAAAAUAUAAUCCUGGGCCAUCUUACCGCCGUUUUAUCAUCGAAUGUAAACCCGUUUAGUGGACAUGAGCUGUUUUACUUUUUUACAUAUGAUCAAAACACAAUCGACUAUAUAUUUGUAGAAUUAGUGGAGUAUGUAAUAGGUUUUAUUUGGAUUUAUUUCUAGAUAACGUGCCUGGUGGUGAUAUACUUAGAAAUAUGUUAUAUACAGUUAGAACAGGGGUGACACAGUGCAGUACUAUCAUUGAUACUUAUCCACAUUUUAUUUCUUUAAAGAGAAUGAUUUUAUUUAAAGCUUCUUCCGGGAUUCAGCCGUUUUGUGAAGAGAUUGUGAAAUUACCUGGAUUUUUUGGAACUACUGAAUUUUCAGAUGGCAAUAAAUUUGAAGCGAUGAGUUACUUGGGGCCAUUUUUUGCAGUCCCUGCUGUUGAGUACGACGACAUCAGAGACCACGACUUGCAAAUGACCCCUCUCUUGCUAGCAGAGAACUGCGACUC